UGGCUCAGAACGAACGCUGGCGGCAGGCCUAACACAUGCAAGUCGAGCGGCCGUAGCAAUACGGCAGCGGCAGACGGGAGAGUAACACGUGGGAACGCGCCCUUCGGUUCGGAACAACCCAGGGAAACUUGGGCUAAUACCGGAUACGUCCGUAAGGAGAAAGAUUUAUCGCCGAAGGAUCGGCCCGCGUCCGAUUAGCUAGUUGGUGAGGUAAUGGCUCACCAAGGCGACGAUCGGUAGCUGGUCUGAGAGGAUGAUCAGCCACACUGGGACUGAGACACGGCCCAGAGUCCUACGGGAGGCAGCAGUGGG
This 312-nucleotide ribosomal RNA is filed under the name uncultured Hyphomicrobiales bacterium. Its description in RNAcentral is "bacterial SSU rRNA". It matches the Rfam family "Bacterial small subunit ribosomal RNA", at positions 20 to 358 of the family's 1533-position model. Lineage: Bacteria; Pseudomonadati; Pseudomonadota; Alphaproteobacteria; Hyphomicrobiales. The record is from RNAcentral.